UGCCUUGGCUCUCGGAGGCGAUGAAGGACGUGAUAAGCUGCGAUAAGCUUCGGGUAGGUGCAAAUAACCUUUGAUCCCAAGAUUUCCGAAUGGGGCAACCCGGCUGGUAGAAGGCCAGUCAUUCCGUAAGGAAGGCGAACGUGGGGAACUGAAACAUCUAAGUACCCAUAGGAGAAGAAAACAAAAGUGAUUCCGCAAGUAGUGGCGAGCGAACGCGGAACAGCCCAAACCGAUGAUGUUUAGGCAUUGUCGGGGUAGUAGGACCACGUUGUGGCAAGAGAUUAAGGAAGUAGAACGUUUUGGAACAAACGGCCGUAGACGGUGAAAGCCCGGUAUACGACUCUUUAACGAAGCCUAGUGGAAUCCUGAGUAGCGCGGAGCACGAGAAAUUCUGUGUGAAUCAGCGGGGCCCAUCCCGUAAGGCUAAAUACUCCCGAGAGACCGAUAGCGAACCAGUACUGUGAAGGAAAGGUGAAAAGCACCUCGAACAGAGGAGUGAAAUAGUCCCUGAAACCGUCUGCCUACAAGCGGUCGGAGCAACGUAAGUUGUGACGGCGUGCCUUUUGCAUAAUGAACCUACGAGUUACUUUCUCCGGCAAGGUUAAGGGCUUCAGGCCCGGAGCCGAAGCGAAAGCGAGUCUUAAUAGGGCGUGAUAGUCGGAGUGAGUAGACGCGAAACCAAGUGAUCUACCCUUGGUCAGGAUGAAGGUUGGGUAACACCAACUGGAGGUCCGAAUGGGUAUACGUUGAAAAGUGUUCCAAUGAACUGAGGGUAGGGGUGAAAGGCUAAUCAAACUUGGAGAUAGCUCGUACUCCCCGAAAUGCAUUUAGGUGCAGCCUUUAUUUAGUAUAGCAUGAGGUAGAGCGACUGAUUGGAUGCGAGGGCUUCACCGCCUAUCAAGUCCAGAUAAACUCCGAAUGCGUGCUAUAUAUUGAUAAGGAGUGAGGGCGCGGGUGCUAAGGUCCGCGUCCGAGAGGAGAAGAAUCCAGACCAUCAGCUAAGGUCCCCAAAUAACAGUUAAGUUGAACUAACGAAGUCGGACUGCAGAGACAGCUAGGAUGUUGGCUUGGAAGCAGCCAUUCAUUUAAAGAGUGCGUAACAGCUCACUAGUCGAGGAGUCCGGCGUGGAUAAUACUCGGGCAUAAACUGUUUACCGAAGCUAUGGAUGUAGAAAUACAUGGUAGGGGAGCAUUCCAACGGCGUCGAAGGUGAAGGAUGACCUUUGCUGGAGCUUUUGGAAACGCAAAUGUAGGUAUAAGUAACGAUAAAGGAGGUGAGAAACCUCCUCGCCGAAAGACUAAGGUUUCCUGAUCAACGCUAAUCGGAUCAGGGUAAGUCGGGACCUAAGGUUAAGCCGAACGGCGAUACCGAUGGAAGAAUGGUUUAAUAUUCCCAUACUACUUUAUGGAGCGAUGUGGAGACGGAGAAGUGACAGUCCUGCCAUCUGACGGAAUAGGUGGUUGAAGAGUGUAGAUGUAGAUUCCUGUAGGCAAAUCCGCAGGGAGAGUCGACCUUGACAGUAUGCCGCGUGCUUGCACAAGGCAAAAUGGACGUAAUCAGGCUCCCAAGAAAAUCCGCUAAGCAUAUUCAUAAAGUACCCGUACCGUAAACGGACACACGUAGUUGGGUUGAAAAUACUGAGGCGCUCGAGUGAUUCACGGUUAAGGAACUAGGCAAAUUGACCCUGUAACUUCGGGAUAAAGGGUCCCUACUGAGAGGUAGGGCGCAGAGAAUAGGUCCAGGCAACUGUUUAACAAAAACACAUGGCUGUGCGAAAUAGAAACAUGAAGUAUACAGCCUGACACCUGCCCGGUGCUGGAAGGUUAAGAGGAGAGCUCAUCGCAAGAGAAGGCUUGAAUUGAAGCCCCAGUAAACGGCGGCCGUAACUAUAACGGUCCUAAGGUAGCGAAAUUCCUUGUCGGGUAAGUUC
This 1931-nucleotide ribosomal RNA is filed under the name human gut metagenome. RNAcentral's name for it is "bacterial LSU rRNA". It matches the Rfam family "Bacterial large subunit ribosomal RNA", at positions 29 to 1983 of the family's 2925-position model. The record is from RNAcentral.